UUAAAAAUAUUAGAAAUCGCAUGAUAUAAUUUGGUGUAGAUGUAAACUUAAUUCCAAAUAGAAGUAGACCUUAGAGGUUUAAAUGAUAUUAAUCCUUAAUUUACCUUUUGACGAACAACUUGGAAAUCAAUCAUUUCAGCAGAAACCCUUUCAUUUCCUUCCUAUUUACUCACUUUCUUUUCUCUUUUUGUUGAAGCUAUAUGCUUUAACAACCUUCGAAAUCCAACCAAAACAGAUUGAUGGAUUUGACAAAAAACUGAGAAACAAAAUUCUAUUGGAUAAAAAAAACAAAAUAAGAGAAACACUAAUAUUUCUUAAUCAAACAGGGAGAAAUUUGAAGGUAGCUAAAAUUUAGAAGGCCCUAUAUCAAUCUAAGAAGGUGAGGAUAGGGUGGUUGCUUUCUAUACUAAAUCAAGAACGCCAAAUCCCAGUUAUAUGGAAUUCCAUAUACAUACAUCCAAGUUGAGUUACUGAAAUUAUUAUUUCUUCUCUUUUCUGGGAAAAAAAAGGACAAGCCCUUUGGUAUAAAGUGAACGAAGACAUAAAAAAAAAAAAAAAAUUAAAAAAGAAAGAAAGAAAGAAAAGGAAAAAGACAAUAUGAAAUUAAUCUUUCUCUGAAAUUUGGAACAAAAUAAUGGAAUGAGUAUAUAUGUGUUUAAGAGUGUCCUGCGACGCAAGACACAGAGGACCUUCUCUGCAUCUGCAUCUACCUCUGCCUCUAACGGAGUCGGAAUUACCAUUGGAGAAAAUCAAGUAUCUCAACCCUUACCUGAAACUGUUGACGAGCACGAAGAGAUGGGUAUGGUGAAGAAGAGGAAGAAGAACGAGACCCAGAAGAGGAAAUUGAAGAGACUGAUCAACAACCCAGAUCUGCCUCAGUCAGAGUCGUUACCCGGCCCAGUUCUUCAUCUAACUCCAAUGGAUUAUCUUCAGCUGGUAACCAGGACGCCUCCAUUUCCAUAACCUUGACCGACCCAGAUGUCCUUCAUUGCUCUAUUUGAUAUGAACCAUUGACGAUUCCCGUCUUCCAGAUGAGAAAACUGCUUAUCUAGUUUGUCCAAUGCAAAUAUUAUCUGCGUGGCAUCGAUCUCUCCUAGCUACCCAACUCAGUGACCAAGUCAAAAAUCAAAUCUCUACAUCCAAAACAAUACCAGUUGCACCGAACCUUGCGGUUGUGUAUAUUUACUUUAUAUAUAUGUACUACAACAAGAACAACAUUUAACAUGUUAUUAAUGUGGUUAAACGCUUUUAACAAGUUAUAAAAAUUAUUGUUUUAAA
This is a long non-coding RNA of Ziziphus jujuba (common jujube), 1278 nucleotides long. RefSeq lists it as uncharacterized. The transcript has 2 exons. NCBI's taxonomy places the organism in Eukaryota, Viridiplantae, Streptophyta, Magnoliopsida, Rosales, Rhamnaceae. The record is from RefSeq and is a predicted model, not a curated record.